ACAUCUGUGACAUUGAGCCCGGCUUCAGGUUUCCUUCUGGGUUGAAAGCUCAGUUUAUCUGCAUUGAAAAAAAAUCUGGAGAUUCAGAGCAGAAACUACAAGAGUAAAGGGUUUGUGUGGAGCAUGCACCUAUAACUUUUGGCAAACCAAAUAUGUUAAAUGAUGUGUAUGGUGUAUAUAGUAUGAAAGGUAUGAGAAGUACCUCAGUGAUAGAAGUUUUUCUUUAUUAGAAAAUUCACAUGGAGAACAAUGAAGUAGCAAAGUGUGAUUCUAUUAAAAUUGAAUAAGGUCUUUUGGAAACCUAUUGCCCACAUUAUCCCAUAAAGAAUAGGGUCACAAGUCAUCAGCACAUUGUCAACUCAAAUAAUACACUUCAUUUGUGUUAUAUAGUACUUAUCAUAAUGAAAUAAAAGCAUUUGCUUAUUUUUUUCUUUCAUUCAUAGGUCUGUGAAAUAUUAGACGAAUUGACUAUCUUAUUAUAACAUUAAGAACUGGUACUGAAUACUUGAAUGUGCUUGAUUUCCUCUUGCAUGACAGACAGCUUCCAUAAUGUGGCUCAGCCUCUCAUUCCAUCUGAGUCACAUGUGCAAUUAUCUAAGCACUCCUGAAGCUGCCCAUGGCCCCACACAACUCAUCAGAACUUCAUGUGGAAUAGCAGGGAGUAGAUACACCAUCUCAUCUGAAUGAGUGAAAAACAGGCAAAAUCUAUGAAACAACACUCAAGGGAGAAGAAAC
Molecule: long non-coding RNA, 735 nt
Organism: Leopardus geoffroyi (Geoffroy's cat)
Lineage: Eukaryota; Metazoa; Chordata; Mammalia; Carnivora; Felidae
Exons: 3
Source: RefSeq, a predicted model, not a curated record